Molecule: ribosomal RNA, 512 nt
Filed under: uncultured bacterium
Lineage: Bacteria
Description: partial 16S ribosomal RNA
Rfam family: Bacterial small subunit ribosomal RNA
Source: RNAcentral
GACGAACGCUGGCGGCGUGCCUAACACAUGCAAGUCGAACGAAACUUCCUUGUCACCGAGUGCUUGCACUCACCGAUAAAGGGUAGAAUCGCGAACGUGUGAGUAACACGUCGGCAAGCUGCCCUAAAGAGGGGGAUAACACUAGGAAACAGGUGCUAAUGCCGCAUAACGGUGGUUACAGCGUGUUAACGGUGUAAAAGGUAGCUAUGCUCCAGCUGUUGGAUGGGCCGGGGGUGCUUUAGCUAGUUGGUAGGGUAUAGGCUUACCAAGGCAGUGAUGGGAAACCGAAUUGAUAGGUAGAUAGCCCACCUGGGGAGUGAGCCAGGGCCCAAACGCCUGCGGGAGGACGCAGUCGGGAAUCUUACGCAAUGGGGGAAAGCCUUAUAGAGCAACGCGGCGUGUGUGAAGAAGGUGCUCGGAGCGGAAAGCCCUGUUGUUAGUGGUGAAAGUGCGUGAGAUUAACCGUUCAGGUAUUGACGGUAUCUGGUCAAAAAGCCCCGGCUAACUACGUG